This 482-nucleotide ribosomal RNA is filed under the name uncultured bacterium. RNAcentral describes it as "partial 16S ribosomal RNA". It matches the Rfam family "Bacterial small subunit ribosomal RNA", at positions 28 to 507 of the family's 1533-position model. The record is from RNAcentral.
GACGAACGCUGGCGGCGUGCUUAACACAUGCAAGUCGAACGCUGAAGCUCAGCUUGCUGGGUGGAUGAGUGGCGAACGGGUGAGUAACACGUGAGUAACCUGCCCUCUUCUUUGGGAUAACGCCCGGAAACGGGUGCUAAUACUGGAUAUUCACUGAUUCUCGCAUGGGGGUUGGUGGAAAGGUUUUUUCUGGUGGGGGAUGGGCUCGCGGCCUAUCAGCUUGUUGGUGGGGUGAUGGCCUACCAAGGCUUUGACGGGUCGCCGGCCUGAGAGGGUGACCGGUCACAUUGGGACUGGGAUACGGCCCAGACGCCUACGGGAGGCAGCAGUGGGGAAUAUUGCACAAUGGGCGAAAGCCUGAUGCAGCGACGCCGCGUGAGGGAUGGAGGCCUUCGGGUUGUAAACCUCUUUCGCUCAUGGUCAAGCCGCAGAUUUGGGUUGUGGUGAGGGUAGUGGGUAAAGAAGCGCCGGCUAACUACGUG